This 390-nucleotide ribosomal RNA is filed under the name Triticum aestivum (bread wheat). Its description in RNAcentral is "partial small subunit ribosomal RNA". The record is from RNAcentral. Lineage: Eukaryota; Viridiplantae; Streptophyta; Magnoliopsida; Poales; Poaceae.
AUGAAAAAGGACGGUGGUAGCUUGGCCGAACGUGUGCUGUUCCUGGGGUCGCCCAACACCUUUGCGAUCGACACCUCCCUGCUCGGUGGCCAUGGAGGUUGCGCCUACUUUGUCUACCCCAACGGUAAGGCCUUUCCACGUAAUGGUUAUGCUAUGCCAAUCGACCAAUAUGGCGUGUUCAGAUACAACCUCAUUGAAAACAAGGUCAAGCUCAUUGAGCGGCUACCCCAAGGAUGGUAUGAAGAGAAGUGCACUUGGCUCAUCCCACAGCCUGCCAUGGCUCAAAUUCAGGAAAUUACUAAAAGGUCUCUCGAGACUCAUGAUAAGAUGCAGCAAAAGCAGCAGAUUACGAGCCCAACAUGCAUCAUUAACAUCGAGAGACAUUAUUGA